AUUUAGCCUUUGGCUUUUGUUUUGGAGUGUUCCAUAGUCAUUGGUUAAUUUUGUAAAUCCUCAGUUCAGCCAGCAUUUUGAGUGGCGUUCGGCAUGAUGGUCAGACAACGCAUCUCUUUCAUUCUCCUGCUCUAUGCAGCCCCUGUGUCCCAUCCCUUCUCAGCCAGUGUCCUAAUCUUCAAGCAUCAACAUCUUUGCAUAGCUUCCCUUUCACAGUGUCCAAAUAAGUCAGAGAAAAACAUCUGGAGCUCAUCAGUGGAACAUGAAGAAGUCAUUGUCCAAGCAAUGGCAAGAGACAUGCAGGGAGUAGAGGAAGAUCUGCAUCCAUUUUGUCAGUGCCACAAGGGUGGGAAAGAAUGUGUGAGAGGUGAUGCUCCAAGAGUCAAAUAGCUGAAAUGUUUCCAGAAUUAAUGGAAGAUAGCAAUCUGCGGACCCCAAAGCCUGAAUAAUUCUAAACAAAACAUAUAAAAAGAGCAAAUAUAUACCUAGACAUUUAACAAUACAGAAACCACUGCAAAAGUACACAACCAACCAGGAGGAAAGUCAGGUGACCUGAUCUUCAAAGGGCAGCAGGCUGUGGCUGGCUCCCCAGCUACACCAGAGCUGGGGAAUCCCUGAGUGCUUCACUAAGGUUGGAAGUGGAACACAGAUGUUCCAGAAUAGCAUCUCCUCUGAGAUUACUUGGAACCAUCAAAGCCAAAUCCUCCAAAGUUUUGAAAAAGGACAGGCAGACAGAAGCACGAUGUUUAUUGAGAAACAGAAAAUGCUGGAAAGAACUCAAAGCCCAUCAACAGCAAGAGGAGCUGUGACACCUGGCACCGUGGAGGACAGGGAACACCUCUGCACUGUCCCCUAGAAGGAAUCCUGAGGAAUAGUAACUUUAAAAGGCACAUACGGUCUGUUACCUUCCAUCUGAGAUCAUGAAUGUGAUAUGUUUAUUUACAAUUCAAAAAGUACAAACCAUAAUUUUUUUUUUUUUGGAAAAAAACCUGGGGUUGGAUAUGAGACCAGUGGGAAAGGAAAGUUGUUCAUGGAGAUUAGACUGUCUGAACACAAUUGUUUUGUGCAUUUGACUUGGAAGUAUGUAAUAUCUUACAUAAUUAUAAAGCUGAAAACAUUUAAAUUUUACUUUAUUUAAUAUAUGUGAGGGGGAGAGAAUGUAUGUAUGUAUGUAUGUAUGUAUGUAUAUAUGUGCACCACAUGCAUGCAAUGACUGGAGUAUGAAGAGGGCAUUGGAUUCCCUGAAACUAGA
This 1252-nucleotide long non-coding RNA is filed under the name Mus spicilegus (steppe mouse). RNAcentral's name for it is "lncRNA (ENSMSIG00000018009.1)". The record is from RNAcentral. Lineage: Eukaryota; Metazoa; Chordata; Mammalia; Rodentia; Muridae.